Molecule: ribosomal RNA, 468 nt
Filed under: uncultured bacterium
Lineage: Bacteria
Description: partial 16S ribosomal RNA
Rfam family: Bacterial small subunit ribosomal RNA
Source: RNAcentral
GACGAACGCUGGCGGCGUGCUUAACACAUGCAAGUCGAACGGAAAGGCCCUGCUUUUGUGGGGUGCUCGAGUGGCGAACGGGUGAGUAACACGUGAGUAACCUGCCCUUGACUUUGGGAUAACUUCAGGAAACUGGGGCUAAUACCGGAUAGGAGCUCCUGCUGCAUGGGGGGGGUUGGAAAGUUUCGGCGGUUGGGGAUGGACUCGCGGCUUAUCAGCUUGUUGGUGGGGUAGUGGCUUACCAAGGCUUUGACGGGUAGCCGGCCUGGGAGGGUGACCGGCCACAUUGGGACUGCGAUACGGCCCAGACUCCUACGGGAGGCAGCAGUGGGGAAUAUUGCACAGUGGGCGGAAGCCUGAUGCAGCAGCGCCGCGUGCGGGAUGACGGCCUUCGGGUUGUAAACCGCUUUCGCCUGUGACGAAGCGUGAGUGACGGUAAUGGGUAAAGAAGCACCGGCUAACUACGUG